UGCGUAGGCGGUCGGGAAAGUUUGAUGUGAAAGCUCCGAGCUCAACUUGGAAAAUGCAUUGAAAACUAUCCGACUAGAGGAUUGUAUGGGAGACUGGAAUUCUCGGUGUAGCAGUGAAAUGCGUAGAUAUCGAGAGGAACACCAGUGGCGAAGGCGAGUCUCUGGACAAUUCCUGACGCUGAGGCACGAAAGCUAGGGGAGCAAACA
This 207-nucleotide ribosomal RNA is filed under the name uncultured bacterium. Its description in RNAcentral is "partial 16S ribosomal RNA". It matches the Rfam family "Bacterial small subunit ribosomal RNA", at positions 568 to 774 of the family's 1533-position model. The record is from RNAcentral.